AUUGAACGCUGGCGGCAUGCCUUACACAUGCAAGUCGAACGGUAACAGGUCUUCGGUUGCUGACGAGUGGCGAACGGGUGAGUAAUACAUCGGAACGUGCCCGAUCGUGGGGGAUAACGAGGCGAAAGCUUUGCUAAUACCGCAUACGAUCUACGGAUGAAAGCGGGGGAUCUUCGGACCUCGCGCGGACGGAGCGGCCGAUGGCAGAUUAGGUAGUUGGUGGGAUAAAAGCUUACCAGGCCGACGAUCUGUAGCUGGUCUGAGAGGAUGAUCAGCCACACUGGGACUGAGACACGGCCCAGACUCCUACGGGAGGCAGCAGUGGGGAAUUUUGGACAAUGGGCGAAAGCCUGAUCCAGCCAUGCCGCGUGCAGGAUGAAGGCCUUUGGGUUGUAAACUGCUUUUGUACGGAACGAAAAGCCUCUUUCUAAUAAAGAGGGGUCAUGACGGUACCGUAAGAAUAAGCACCGGCUAACUACGUG
Molecule: ribosomal RNA, 482 nt
Filed under: uncultured bacterium
Lineage: Bacteria
Description: partial 16S ribosomal RNA
Rfam family: Bacterial small subunit ribosomal RNA
Source: RNAcentral